GCUUUAUUUCUCCAGCGAUUUAAAAUACAAUAAUUUACUGUAGUUAUUAUAUUUUUCUCUGUUUAAUUAUAUCCAGUGCAAUUCCCAUCAGGAAUUAUUCUAGUAGGGAUACGAAGUACCAUGACUACCGAAGCAGGUGACUCUAACUUCGUAAGCACGCUCGAUGUAGAUAGCAGAAAGAAAGCGAAAGAUGAAUUGAACGAACUAAAUGAAAAAGAUCGGGAAAUAGCUGUUCAAACACUAAGGAAAUGGGUCAUCGAAGCGGACUGGCUAAAAUCACCAACAGGUCAGAUUGUUCUGCUGCAAAAUGAAUUAUAUUUUAGAGGUAAUUUUGAUUGAUGACAGUCAUAUUUCGAACAGGAGUGGACACUAGUUUUCAACCAACGACCGCAGGCAAACUAGCUCUAUAGUACGGCUCAAACUUAAAGAUGCGAGUGACAUUUGAUUCAAAGUAGCAUUUAACCACUCGACCAAUGAGGUCCACAUAAACUAUAGCGUUUCCACCAGCGUGUUGCCUCAUCUAGAAGACAUCGUUAUUGGCUUAAAUAUGUAAUACUUCUAAUUUAAAUUCGACAAAAACCUUUCGUUUCCAUUGUUCUUAGGCAGAAAACGAGAAGAUGCUUUAUAAAAAAAUAGUUUAUUGAAAACAAUAGAAAUUUUGUUUGAUCUGCAAAGUGUCAUGGUAUUCGACUUGAUUAUCAAAUAGGGAGAAAAUGUGUAGGAGGUCGGGUAGUUCAGUCAAUAAAGCAUUUGGACGGUAGUCUGAUGCACCGGAUUCCAGUCCUGGUCAGGCUGCAUUUUUCCUCACCAUUUGACAAAGGAAACCAAGAAAUGGUAAAUAGGUAUAUGCGACUUCGAACUCUGGAAAUUCGCCUAAUGCAAAUUUUUGUCACAGAUAGUAGUCGGUGUCUUAUGUAAAACGUUGAUAUACAUUUGAAGUAUAAAAUCUUAUCCAAAUGUUCUAGGUCAGCUUUUCUUUUUAACAUAGAUUUUGGUUUUCUACUCCGAUUUUUACUGACGAGAAAGUACAGUCAACUUGUUGCACGUCAGAAUUUAGAGAAUUAUUGGACUUUGAAGACAACCGUUCCAGAAUACUUCAGAAAUAUUGACCCCGCCGAUCAAACUCUACAAGCCAUAAUCAGAACAGGUUUCUGCUAUAGUCCAGAGAAACUUGACAAGAAAAACAGACGUGUGUUUUUCCAUGAAAUUUGGUAAGUACAUUAUCCAAAUUUAUGGAAAAUUUGAUAAAAUCUGUAAGAAAACCCUUUUGAACGAUGAAACGCAAAUAAACAAAUCAACAGCGGGUUCAUUUUGAAUAAUAGAAAAUGCGCAUCACCAUUCACGCCCCCAAGCAACGGCUAAAGUGGAAUUAUCCAUAAACAUUGCAUGGAUUCCGUGAUCCCGAAGGAGCAGAAAAUAUAUUAAAAAUGUGAAGACAGGAAAAAGCUGGAAUGAAAUUGUCUUUGAGAUGAAAACGGACAAAAACGCUACUGGUUCGCUCUUUCACUUAAAUUAAAUGACCAUAUUUAUUUUAUACUUUAUGUAAAUUCUCUUUAUCUUCUAUAUAUCGCUAUUUAAUGAUGAUUGAACUGUUUAAAUGAUUUUAGGUAG
Long non-coding RNA from Mercenaria mercenaria, 1611 nucleotides. RefSeq lists it as uncharacterized. NCBI's taxonomy places the organism in Eukaryota, Metazoa, Mollusca, Bivalvia, Venerida, Veneridae. The transcript is spliced from 3 exons. The record is from RefSeq and is a predicted model, not a curated record.